UUCUAGCUCCAUUUUAAGGAAUUUAGAGUGGAGAGGGGAGGUUCAAUAUAACUAAAAUAUCAUUUUAAAAUUGUUCAUCUCCCGUUUUUAACCACACAUUUAUAUUCCUUCAUCUACCCUCUCUUCCCUCAAUUGAACCAAACACACUCUAAUUGAUCAACUUUCUCUAGAAUUCACUUAAUCAUGACACUACAAUUACUUUUAAUCUCCAUCCUCUGAAACAAAGCUCCUUCGCUAACCUAACAACACGCUUAAUCACCUGUGCUUCAACCAAAGUCGCAUCCAGGUUCCAGCCGCUAUUCUUCUUAAAAAAUGGUGGGAGCUUGAAAGUCUAAUAGGUCCCAGAUGAAGUUAAUCUUAUAGGUUCUUAUCUCAUAUCCUCGGAUGAUUGGACUAAGACAAAGGAACAACAAGACUUCACUUCACUCUAUUUUUUCUAAGUCUAGUGAAAGUGCUCUAACACGUGCCUCUAGUGAUGGAAGUGACACUUUAUUUUGGAUUGACUCCAACAAUGUAAGCAAUGCUCUGGUUCUGGUGACUUUAGAAAUAUAUGAUAUCUUCUGCUUAUGUUGCCUCUAUUGAACGCAAUUAUGCUCUAUUUGUUUGCCUCUGAUAAGUUUAACAAACAAGUUAUUGUUUGCCUCUGAUAUUCACAUCAUCACAUCAAGUAUAUGAUUGUUUGACUCUGAUUCAUGAUGUAUGCUUUAGAAGAAGUCAAUGCUCUGAUUAAAUUCAAUAUUCUGAAGAAGACAAAACAUUUGUGCAUCCUCUAAUGAACAUCCUGAAUCUGUUACUUGUUUGAAGGUCUUUAAGACAUGCUCUGAUCAUCGUAUUCUCUACUUCUGGGUCUUCAUACAAAGAUACGUUGAAUCAAUUAAAAUGAUGUGUUUUGGAAAAUUUUCAAUUGCAAAUCAAUCUCAAAAGAUAUGAUACGAAAUUUCAUGACUAAUAUUGAUUUCUUGCAAUUAGAACAAUGUCUAGAAAUCCUAAAAGAUCUCUAUAAAAAGGUGUGCAUUCCUCACUGGAAAAAUAACAAACGUACAAGCUAAAAACACAUACAUCCUCAUCUGCACUCUGGCUCUUAAUCUUUUAUUUUACUCAAAUGUUGAGAUAAGUUUUUGAAAGAACCUUGUUAACACUCUACUGUGAGAACUACUUCAGAAAACUUAAAUCAAUUAUCUUGUAACCUAGUCCAACAGUGGAUGCCUACCUCAAUAUCGUGGCUGUACUAAGCUAGAAGGUUGAUAAGACUUUAACAUAGUUAGUUUUACUAAUAGAUGUUCAGUGAUAGUAUAAUUAUGUGGUGAACUAGUGGAUUAAAUCAUUUAGGUUGAAGGGACUCAUAGCUACCAUGUUGGUGGUGAACCAGGAUAAAUCGUUCGUGUUAUUUUGUUCUUUUCUUGUUCAAAUGUCCCGUUUUUUUACUAUAGCUUAGUCACAUUAAAAAGAUUUUAAAAAAAAACACAAUCCAAACCCCUAUUUAUUGUAUUUCUCGCUCUACGUGCAAUUCCCUUCUCAUGAACUUGAAAUACCUUACAUUGCAUCCUUUGAAGAUUGAAGAAGAUAAGCAAGGAAAACAAGACAAUGUUUUAGAAGAUUGGUUAAAGAUGCGACUGACUCUGUUAAGCGCAUCCUCAACACGCCUCUAAUGAAUAUGUUAAUAAAAACUUGCUCUGAUAAUUAUGUGUUUGAUAAAUCUGGCAAACAGUUGAACGUCUAGUAAAACCAUCAAGUAAACACUUUGACAAAGUCAAAACUCUAAUAUAAAAGACAACUUUUGAGGCCAAAACUUUGAAGAAAUCAACAUUCCAACAUUCUCUAUUCAUCAAAGUUGGAUUUAUCCUCUGACUAAAUAAGUGCAUGACAUCUUCUGAAUAUGCCAUCCUCUGGUCUUCCAGCCACUUCUAUCAAGAUAUGUUGAAUCAUUUACGAAGAUGGAUUUAAACAAGUUUUAAUGCUAAUGCAAGAUCUCUAAAGAUUUGAUACGAGUCAUUAUGUUACAUGUUGAUUUCAUGCAAUCAUAGCAACAGUUAGAAACCCUAAUGACCUUGAAGUUUUUUUAUAGAAGGAGUUGUGAUCUUCACUACAAAACAACACAUAUGAGAAAUCUAUUGAUGUCAUAUACAAUACCCCAUGAAAAACUAUGUAUUAUUUUCGGAGUGUUGAAAAUUUUCAAAUACAUUUUAAGAGCAUAGCAUGUAAACAUUAUCUUGUGAAAGUUACUCAUAAAAUUAUUUAAACAUUAUUUAUAACCUAGCCAAGUAGUGGUUGCAUCCUUCAACAACUUGACUGUACUAAGUUAAAAGGUUGAAAAGACUUGAACACAAUCAAAUUAUCUAGUAGGUGUUUAGUGAACGUGUGAUAUUAUUUGUGAUUAAUGGAUUAAAUCCUUUAGCAUGAAGGAACUAGACGUAACUAUCGUGUUAAUGGAGAACUAGGAGAAAUUGGUUUGUGUUCCUCGCCUUAUCUCUUUAUGUAUUCUUGCUUUUAACAUCACUAGUUUAUUAUUUGUUUUUAUAAUUAAGUUUUUGAGAAAAAAAACACAAUUCAAACCUCCAUUUCUUGUCUUUUUCUCUCUACAAUUGGUAUUGGAGCUCGGUCUCAAGGCUGAGCACUAAUCGUGUUUGGAUAAAUAUGUUAAUUUUUAAUUUUGACUAACUUGUGCGAUGAAGGUUUAGGUGGAAAUGUUAACUUUGCUGACUAACUCUAACAUGAUCCCUAACUUUGGGACAUAGAUGAAGAUGGCUUUGAAGCUCCUAAAGAUGCAAGUACAUGUUGAAAUAUCCAAAAAGGAUCUCAACACUGCUCAAAAGAUACAAUUUAAGAUGCAUCAUAAGGCCAAAAACUUAAUGAUGGAUGUUAUCACUUUCAAAGAGUUCAACAAAUGUAGUAAUGAAGAAACAACAAAAAGCAUCUUCGACGCCACAGUCCUCAACUAUGAAGGAAAUAAACUAGUGUAAGAAGUUAAGGCAAAUCUGCUUGUCAAGAAGUAUAAACUUUUUCAGAUGCAAAAGGAUGGAGAAAUUGAGAAAAUGGUAUGUAGAUUUCAAACUCUAUUAUCUAGAUUAAAGGUUCUGUAAAAGAGUUACACUACAGCUAAACAUGUCAAUAAAAUCCUCAAAAGUCUACCUAAUAAGUGGAGACCAAAAGUCACAACAAUUCAGAAGGCUAAAUACCAUAACAAAUUUCCUCUAGAACAGUUGAUGAGUUCACUCAAAUUCCAUGAGAUUGGACUUGUUGAGGAUGAACCGAAAAUGAAGUCAAAGUCUUUGGCUCUCAAAUCUAAAGGAAACCAAGCAAAUUCCAAGGCUCUAUAAGUUAUGGAGAGUGAAGACUCAAAUGGUGAAGAAUUUUCAUUCAUUUCAAGAAAAUCUAGAACAAGUGUAGAACCAGGAAGAAACCUUUCCCAAAAAGGAUUUUAGAAAAUCCAAAAGUAGUAGAGAAAGAAAAGAAAAAUAUAAAAGGAAGAAAUUCAUCAGCUAUGAAUCCAACGAACCUAGACAUUUCAAAUCAGAAUGUCUUAAGCUCGAGAAGGGAAAAUCUCAAAUAAAAGACUUCAAUGUAAUGAAGAAAAGUCUAAUGGCUACCUGGGAUGACUCGGUGAUAUAUUUUUAUGAAUAUGAAGAGCACUCAAACAUGGCUUUAAUGGCAGAUGUUCGCUUUAACUCUUAUUCUGACAACGAAUGUGUUGAUGAGGAAAUUGAGAUCUCCUUUGCAACAAAGUUGAAACACUAGUCAUGGUAUUUGGACAAUAGAUGCUCAUGACACAUGACGAAAGAAAAGUCAAUGUUCCAAUACAUGACCCUUAAGGAAUUAAGAUUUGGAGGAAAUCAUAAGGGUAAGAUUAUAAGGUGUGUUACAGUAGGUAAUGGUUUUGUUCCAUAUAUUAAAAAUGUUCUAUUUGUAAAAUGAUUAAUGCGUAAUCUAUUGAAUAUAAGUUAAUUAAGUGAUAAUAGUUAUGAUAAUUUCUUCAACUGAAAGUCCAGUAAGGCAAUUAGUCAAAACGAUGAAUCUAUACUAUUUACUUUUCAGAGGAAAAAUAAUAUUUACAAAAUAUAUUUAUCAGAUUAAGAAAAACAAGAUAUAAAAUGUCUCGUGUCAGUGAAUGAAGAACAACUGAAUUGGCACAAAAGGUUGGGACAUGUCAAUUUGAGAUUAAUCUCAAAGUUGAAAAGGCUUAACCUAGUUAGAGGUUUUGCCAAAUUUAAGAUAUGAAUCAGAUGUUCUUUGUGAGACAUGUUAGAAAGGGAAACAGACAUAAUCAUCAUUUUCUUCAAAGAAUGUUGUUUCUACUUCUAAACCACUUUAACGUUUACACCUUGAUUUAUUUGGUCUAGUAAGGAUUUCCUUUGUAAGUGGAAAAAAUAUGGACUCGUUGUUGCAGAUGACUAUUUCAGAUGGACUCCGGCAAAGUUCCUUAAACCCAAUGACGAGUCACAUAAAUGUUUCACUACUUUCUACAAACAAGUGCAAAAUGAAAAAUGUUUUUGUAUCACAACAAUUGGUAGUGAUCAUGGUGAGGAAUUUGAAAAUAAAUCUUUUGAAAAUUAAGGUGAAGAGAAUGGAAAUAAUUUUUCUUUUGUUAGAACACCCUAGAAAAAUCGGGUAUUAGAAAGGAAAAAUAGAUCUCUUUAGGAAUUGGAAUGCACCAUGAUACAUUAAAUGAAUGUUGUCAAGCCCUUUUGUUCAAAGGCAAUAAAAGCUAUAUGUUAUAUUAUAAUAAAAUCUAUAUAAGACAUAUUCUCCAUUGUUGGAACCAAGUUGAUUUUACAUUUAGAGUUUUGAUGUUAACAAAAGUAUUUUAU
Cicer arietinum (chickpea) is the source of this 4805-nucleotide non-coding RNA. The record is from RefSeq and is a predicted model, not a curated record. Lineage: Eukaryota; Viridiplantae; Streptophyta; Magnoliopsida; Fabales; Fabaceae.